Molecule: ribosomal RNA, 404 nt
Filed under: Actinomycetes bacterium
Lineage: Bacteria; Bacillati; Actinomycetota; Actinomycetes
Description: Actinobacteria bacterium partial 16S ribosomal RNA
Rfam family: Bacterial small subunit ribosomal RNA
Source: RNAcentral
UGGGGAAUAUUGGACAAUGGGCGCAAGCCUGAUCCAGCCAUGCCGCGUGAGUGAUGAAGGCCCUAGGGUUGUAAAGCUCUUUCACCGGUGAAGAUAAUGACGGUAACCGGAGAAGAAGCCCCGGCUAACUUCGUGCCAGCAGCCGCGGUAAUACGAAGGGGGCUAGCGUUGUUCGGAUUUACUGGGCGUAAAGCGCACGUAGGCGGACUUUUAAGUCAGGGGUGAAAUCCCGGGGCUCAACCCCGGAACUGCCUUUGAUACUGGAAGUCUUGAGUAUGGUAGAGGUGAGUGGAAUUCCGAGUGUAGAGGUGAAAUUCGUAGAUAUUCGGUGGAACACCAGUGGCUAAGGCGGCUCACUGAACCAUUACUGACGCUGAGGUGCGAAAGCGUGGGGAGCAAACAGG